RNAcentral lists this ribosomal RNA (253 nucleotides) under uncultured bacterium. RNAcentral describes it as "partial 16S ribosomal RNA". It matches the Rfam family "Bacterial small subunit ribosomal RNA", at positions 524 to 776 of the family's 1533-position model. The record is from RNAcentral.
UACGUAGGUGGCAAGCGUUGUCCGGAUUUACUGGGCGUAAAGAGCGCGCAGGCGGUCGUUCAAGUCGCGUGUGAAAGCCCCCGGCUCAACUGGGGAGGGUCACGCGAUACUGAUCGACUCGAAGGCAGGAGAGGGAAGUGGAAUUCCCGGUGUAGUGGUGAAAUGCGUAGAUAUUGGAAAGACCACCAAUGGCGAAGGCACUCUACUGGGCCAUUACUGACACUGAGAGACGAAAGCUAGGGGAGCAAAUGGG